This 70-nucleotide transfer RNA is filed under the name Lachnospiraceae bacterium. RNAcentral describes it as "tRNA-Asn". It matches the Rfam family "tRNA". From Rfam's summary of the family: Transfer RNA (tRNA) molecules are approximately 80 nucleotides in length. The record is from RNAcentral. Lineage: Bacteria; Bacillati; Bacillota; Clostridia; Lachnospirales; Lachnospiraceae.
UCCUCGAUAGCUCAAUGGUAGAGCACGCGGCUGUUAACCGCGGGGUUGUUGGUUCGAGCCCAACUCGGGG